ACCAUCGACCAAACCACUUUGAAUACCCCGGUUCUUGUCCCAUCACCGAAGCUUAACAACACUAGCCCAGGGGGUACUUGGAAGGGAGACCGCGUGCCAACACUGGGUGUUGAUGGCA
Ribosomal RNA from Tropilaelaps mercedesae, 118 nucleotides. The record is from Rfam. Lineage: Eukaryota; Metazoa; Arthropoda; Arachnida; Mesostigmata; Laelapidae.